Molecule: ribosomal RNA, 262 nt
Filed under: uncultured bacterium
Lineage: Bacteria
Description: partial 16S ribosomal RNA
Rfam family: Bacterial small subunit ribosomal RNA
Source: RNAcentral
CCGCGGUAAUACGGAGGAUCCGAGCGUUAUCCGGAAUCAUUGGGUUUAAAGGGUCCGUAGGCGGCCCGGUAAGUCAGUGGUGAAAUCUCACGGCUCAACCGUGAAAUGGCCAUUGAUACUGUCGGGCUUGAAUUGUUGGGAAGUAACUAGAAUAUGUAGUGUAGCGGUGAAAUGCUUAGAUAUUACAUGGAAUACCGAUUGCGAAGGCAGGUUACUACCAAUACAUUGACGCUGAUGGACGAAAGCGUGGGGAGCGAACAGG